Molecule: long non-coding RNA, 446 nt
Organism: Engraulis encrasicolus (European anchovy)
Lineage: Eukaryota; Metazoa; Chordata; Actinopteri; Clupeiformes; Engraulidae
Exons: 5
Source: RefSeq, a predicted model, not a curated record
GGCAGGAUUGUAAACAGAGCAGUAUUUCAAGGCAACACGGUUGGAAAAGGCAUCUCGAACAACAUCACAGCUAAGGAAGGAGUGCAGGUUGUGAACGAAGCGCAAUUCCAACAGAACAAAGGUGCAGGAGACAUUACAAACAACAUAGCAGGAACUUAUAAUAUUGAAAACGGUCCAAGCUUUCUUGAGAAUGAAGUGGAUGGUGCUCUGACCAAUAAUUUACCAGAGUGAUUAUUAGUCUGCAUGAAUGGAACCAAUGGCGGGCAAGGAAAAUCCUAAAAAAUAUUCGUUUGCUAUAUCAGCAUCUGGGGGGGCGACUGUUAAUCAUCCUAUUCUUCUUGGCAACCGGGUGGGAGGAGAUGUUCAAUGCCCAGUGAAAACUAAUAAACAACAGACCACAGGCAGCAAAGACAGAGGGCAAGCCGGCCUCCAAACAACCUCUAGUA